GAUGAACGCUAGCGGGAGGCUUAACACAUGCAAGUCGAGGGGCAGCAUAGGGUAGCAAUACUCUGAUGGCGACCGGCAAACGGGUGAGUAACGCGUAUGCAACCUACCCUGUACAGGGGGAUAACCCGGAGAAAUUCGGACUAAUAUCCCGUAAUAAUAUCCGGAGGCAUCUUUGGAUAUUUAAAGUUCCGACGGUACGGGAUGGGCAUGCGUAACAUUAGCUGGUUGGUAAGGUAACGGCUUACCAAGGCUAUGAUGUUUAGGGGUCCUGAGAGGGUGGUCCCCCACACUGGUACUGAGACACGGACCAGACUCCUACGGGAGGCAGCAGUGAGGAAUAUUGGUCAAUGGGCGCAAGCCUGAACCAGCCAUCCCGCGUGCAGGAAGACGGCCCUAUGGGUUGUAAACUGCUUUUCCAGGGAGAGAACUUACGCACGUGUUGCGUGACUGACGGUACCUGGGAAUAAGCAUCGGCUAACUCCGUG
Molecule: ribosomal RNA, 485 nt
Filed under: uncultured bacterium
Lineage: Bacteria
Description: bacterial SSU rRNA
Rfam family: Bacterial small subunit ribosomal RNA
Source: RNAcentral